Non-coding RNA from Parasteatoda tepidariorum (common house spider), 282 nucleotides. The record is from RefSeq and is a predicted model, not a curated record. Lineage: Eukaryota; Metazoa; Arthropoda; Arachnida; Araneae; Theridiidae.
AAAUGCAAGAGGGCAGGUGUGUACGCAUGGUAUAAUCGUGAGGGAAAUAGUAGUCAUAAAUAAACUUUUGUUGCAUUAGUUAUGGACAAAAUAAUCUUCUUUUCAGUUAUGCCUAGAAAACCAUAUGUUGCAUAGAACUAUUAUGGACAUCAUAAGGAGGUUGCUUGUAAAAGCAUUAUUUUAAAAGUACAAGGAAAAGAAUUGUUCUCGUGAAUCCUUUGUGUUGGAAUCAUCAACGUUUAAGCGGAAAAGAUAAGUUCGUAUGGAUGGGCUCAGAGAAAA